Molecule: ribosomal RNA, 301 nt
Filed under: uncultured bacterium
Lineage: Bacteria
Description: partial 16S ribosomal RNA
Rfam family: Bacterial small subunit ribosomal RNA
Source: RNAcentral
CAGCCGCCACGGUAAUACAGAGGGUGCAAGCGUUAAUCGGAAUUACUGGGCGUAAAGCGCGCGUAGGUGGUUUGUUAAGUUGGAUGUGAAAGCCCCGGGCUCAACCUGGGAACUGCAUCCAAAACUGGCAAGCUAGAGUACGGUAGAGGGUGGUGGAAUUUCCUGUGUAGCGGUGAAAUGCGUAGAUAUAGGAAGGAACACCAGUGGCGAAGGCGACCACCUGGACUGAUACUGACACUGAGGUGCGAAAGCGUGGGGAGCAAACAGGAUUAGAGACCCCCGUAGUCCCUGUCUCUUAUAC